This is a long non-coding RNA of Olea europaea var. sylvestris, 255 nucleotides long. RefSeq lists it as uncharacterized. NCBI's taxonomy places the organism in Eukaryota, Viridiplantae, Streptophyta, Magnoliopsida, Lamiales, Oleaceae. The transcript is spliced from 2 exons. The record is from RefSeq and is a predicted model, not a curated record.
AAGAAGAAGGGGAAAAAGAAAAGGAAAGGAGAUAGAAGCUGCGUUGAGCCAUAUCAGAGCCUGUCGUUUGACGAGUUGAGCUUCAUCGUGUCCUUGUUUGUAUGUCUCAUUUUGUUAAUUCAUACAACAUAUAUUUUGGGGGUUAAUGUAUUUUGUAUCAAAAAUGUAUUAAGUCUCAUACCCAUUGCAUAUUUUGUGUAUGUUUUGAAAUGGUAAAUUUCUUUUUCAGUACAACUCCUUGAAGAAUUAGUAUUU